AUGCCGGCCAUGGUGGCGCAGGAGGCGGAGCGCGCGGGGGAGGCGCCGCACUUCCUCGUGGUCACGUUCCCGGCGCAGGGCCACAUCAACCCGGCGCGCCACCUCGCGCUGCGCCUCCUCAGCGCCUCGCCGGGCGCCCGCGUCACCUUUUCCACCCCCGUCUCCGCUUUCCGCAAGAUGUUCACGGACGUCGAGGACGCGGAGGCGGUGGACCACGUCGACGGCGCCGGCGUCCACUACGUGCCCUACUCCGACGGGUUCGACGGCGGCUUCGACACGUCAGCGCACGACAUCUCGUACUACAUGUCCAAUCUCAAGGCCGCGGGGUCCCGCACGCUCGGCGGCGUGCUCGCGCGCCUCCGCGACGCCGGCACCCCCGUCACGCAGGUGGUUUACACCGUGAUGCUCUCCUGGGUCGCCGCCGUCGCGCGCGCGCACGGCGUUCCCGCCGCGGCCUACUGGAUCCAGCCGGCCACCGUGCUCGCCGCCUACUUCCACUUCUUCCGUGGCACCGACGGCCUCGACCAGGCCGUCGCCGCCGCGGCGAGCGACCCGUGGGCGGACGUCCGCGUCCGGGGGCUCCCGCCGAUGCGCCUGCGCGACCUGCCGUCGUUCUUCACCAUCGCCUCCGACGUCGACCACCCCUACGCCUUCGUCCUCACCGCGUUCCGCGAGCUCCUCGACGUGCUGGACCGCGAGGACACGCCCACCGUGCUCGUCAACACGUUCGACGCUAUGGAGCCUGAUGCGGUGGCGACGCUGCGCCAGCACGGCGUCGACGUCGUCCCCAUCGGCCCCGUGCUCUCCUUCCUGGACGCAUCGGCGGCGCCGGUCAACAACAACAACGAUCUGUUCAAGCUGGACGGCAAGGGGUACCUGGAGUGGCUGGACGCGCAGGAAGCGGGGUCGGUCGUCUACAUCUCCUUCGGGAGCCUGUCGACGAUGAGCAAGCGGCAGAUCGCGGAGGUGGCGCGCGGCAUGGCGGAGAUCGGCCGCCCGUUCCUGUGGGUGCUGAGGAAGGACAACCGCGGCGAGAUAGACGGCGACGACUCGUGCAGCGGCAUCGGCUCCAGCGCGGGCAUGGUGGUGGAGUGGUGCGACCAGGGGAAGGUGCUGUCGCACCCGGCGGUGGGGUGCUUCGUGUCGCACUGCGGUUGGAACUCGACGCUGGAGAGCGUGGCGUGCGGCGUGCCGGUAGUCGGGAUGCCGCAGUGGACGGACCAGGGCACCAAUGCGUGGCUGGUGGAGCGGAAGCUCGGCACCGGGGUCCGGGCCGCCGUGAGUGAGAAGGACGGCGUGCUGGAGACCGACGAGCUGCCGAGGUGCAUCGGCUCCGCCACGUCGGAUGUGGUGCGCGCCAAGGCGGCGCUGUGGAGGGAGAAGGCGAGGGCGGCGGCGGCCGUGGGCGGCUCAUCCGAGAGGAACCUCAGGGCGUUCGUCGCCGGCAACUAG
RNAcentral lists this ribosomal RNA (1452 nucleotides) under Triticum aestivum (bread wheat). Its description in RNAcentral is "partial small subunit ribosomal RNA". The record is from RNAcentral. Lineage: Eukaryota; Viridiplantae; Streptophyta; Magnoliopsida; Poales; Poaceae.